GUUAUCUGCCUUUGGGUGGGGGAUAGCCCAUGGAAACAUGGGGUAAUACCGCAUAAAGCCCUUCGGGGUUAAAGGAGCAAUUGUUCCGCCUGGAGAUGAGCCUGCGGUCCAUUAACUAGUUGGUGUGGUAAAGGCGCACCAAGGCGACGAUGGAUAGCCGGCCUGAGAGGGUGAACGGCCACACUGGGACUGAGACACGGCCCAGACUCCUACGGGAGGCAGCAACUAAGAAUCUUCCGCAAUGGGGGCAACCCUGACGGAGCGACGCCGCGUGGACGAUGAAGGCCGGAAGGUUGUAAAGUCCUUUUCUUCACGAAGAAUAAUGCUGGGAGUGGAAUGCCCGGCGGAUGACGUUAGCGGAGGAAUAAGCCCCGGCCAAUUACGUGCCAGCAGCCGCGGUAACACGUAUGGGGCGAGCGUUGUUCGGAAUUAUUGGGCGUAAAGGGCGUGUAGGCGGCCUGUUAAGCUUGGUGUUAAAGGUCUCGGCUCAACCGGGAUUUGGCGCUGGGAACUGGCGGGCUAGAGUUCUGGAGGGGGAGCUGGAAUUCCAAGUGUAGGGGUGAAAUCUGUAGAUAUCUGGAAGAACACCGGUGGCGAAGGCGAGCUCCUGGCCAUGGACUGACGCUGAGGCGCGAAAGCGUGGGGAGCGAACAGGAUUAGAUACCCUGGUAGUCCACGCUGUAAACGAUGUGCACUGGGCGUAGGGGGCAUUGGGUCCUCUGUGCCGUAGCUAACGCGUUAAGUGCACCGCCUGGGGAGUAUGCCCGCAAGGGUGAAACUCAAAGGAAUUGACGGGGGCCCGCACAAGCGGUGGAGCAUGUGGUUUAAUUCGAUGAUACGCGAGGAGCCUUACCGGGGUUUGACAUGCACAGGGAUGUCUUGGAGACAAGGCAGUCCCUUCUGGGGACCUGUGCACAGGUGCUGCAUGGCGGUCGUCAACUCGUGUCGUGAGAUGUUGGGUUAAGUCCCCCAACGAGCGCAACC
Molecule: ribosomal RNA, 984 nt
Filed under: uncultured organism
Description: bacterial SSU rRNA
Rfam family: Bacterial small subunit ribosomal RNA
Source: RNAcentral